Molecule: non-coding RNA, 82 nt
Organism: Symsagittifera roscoffensis
Lineage: Eukaryota; Metazoa; Xenacoelomorpha; Acoela; Convolutidae
Source: the annotation of a RefSeq genome assembly
GCAGCCACGGCCGAGUGGUUAAGGCGUCUGACUUGAAAUCAGAUAUGAUCUACUCGCGCAGGUUCGAAUCCUGCUGGUUGCG